CGGACAUCAUCCAAAUAGGGGUUAACACGUGCAAAGAGAACCAUCACUCUUGACAUCAUCCUUAAGAACGUGCCAAAGCACAUCGAUCGUCGGAUCGAAUUGAUCAUCGUACAACUGCGAUCAACGGAACCAUCUAUCACAGCCCGAAUCCAGCAGUAACAGCACCUCGUUCGCUCACGGCUUCACCAAACUACCUUUCCCGUACUAUAGAUAAAAAUUAUUUGUGGGGAGGAAGAAGCUUCUGCUUCAGCAACUGAACCGCCAUGUCCUCCUCCAAUCCCGAUAAGUUGAUCGUCAAGGCCGAUAAGCUAACAAAACUGAGUCUCACAAGGUGGAGUGCUGAUUGGAAAAGUGCCACUCUUUUGUACGAGCAAGCUGCUAAUGGUUUUAGGGUUGCCAAGAAAUAUGAGAAAGCAAAAGCAGCAUUUGAAAUGGCUUCCAAAGGACAAGAGAUACUCUCUUCCCCCUGGGAUGCUGCUAAGCAUAUGGAGUCAGCUGCUGCGCUAGCAAAGGAACUAGGCAAGUGGAAUGAAGUUGCUGAUCUUUAUAGAAGGGCAUCUGAGCUGUAUAUUGAGUGUGGGAGAUCACAACCUGCAUCGGAUGCUCUAGCGAAGGGUGCUCGUGCCUUGGAAGAUGCUGUUCCUGAUGUUGCUGUUCAACUUUAUAUUGAUGCUUCUGAUAUUCUUGAAGAGGAUGGCAAGGAGCAAAUGACCUUUGAUCUAUAUCGUGCUGCUGCUGGUGUUUAUAUAAAGCUUGAGAAGUAUACAG
Molecule: unclassified non-coding RNA, 768 nt
Filed under: Hevea brasiliensis (rubber tree)
Lineage: Eukaryota; Viridiplantae; Streptophyta; Magnoliopsida; Malpighiales; Euphorbiaceae
Source: RNAcentral